AACGCAUAUUGCGCCCUUUGGCAUUCCGAAGGGCAUGCCUGUUCGAGCGUCAUUACACCCCUCAGACUUCACUGUUUGAUGUUGGGUACUGCCUAGGGGCAUACCUAAAAGUCAGCGACGGUUUCAGCCAACCUCAGACGUACAAGUAUCGUUAUAGUGGAAGGUUGGGGCCAGUCUUUAACUAAACUUCUAAAUGUUGACCUCGGAUCAGGUAGGAAUACCCGCUGAACUUAA
This 234-nucleotide unclassified non-coding RNA is filed under the name uncultured fungus. RNAcentral describes it as "partial contains 5.8S ribosomal RNA, internal transcribed spacer 2, and large subunit ribosomal RNA". Lineage: Eukaryota; Fungi. The record is from RNAcentral.